RNAcentral lists this transfer RNA (76 nucleotides) under Candidatus Thiodiazotropha endolucinida. Its description in RNAcentral is "tRNA-Lys". It matches the Rfam family "tRNA". From Rfam's summary of the family: Transfer RNA (tRNA) molecules are approximately 80 nucleotides in length. Their secondary structure includes four short double-helical elements and three loops (D, anti-codon, and T loops). Further hydrogen bonds mediate the characteristic L-shaped molecular structure. tRNAs have two regions of fundamental functional importance: the anti-codon, which is responsible for specific mRNA codon recognition, and the 3' end, to which the tRNAs corresponding amino acid is attached (by aminoacyl-tRNA synthetases). tRNAs cope with the degeneracy of the genetic code in two manners: having more than one tRNA (with a specific anti-codon) for a particular amino acid; and 'wobble' base-pairing, i.e. permitting non-standard base-pairing at the 3rd anti-codon position. RNAcentral also lists the same sequence under 10 other names. The record is from RNAcentral. Lineage: Bacteria; Pseudomonadati; Pseudomonadota; Gammaproteobacteria; Chromatiales; Sedimenticolaceae.
GGGUCGUUAGCUCAGUCGGUAGAGCAUCUGACUUUUAAUCAGGUGGUCGCAGGUUCGAUUCCUGCACGACCCACCA